Molecule: long non-coding RNA, 1156 nt
Organism: Cyprinodon variegatus (sheepshead minnow)
Lineage: Eukaryota; Metazoa; Chordata; Actinopteri; Cyprinodontiformes; Cyprinodontidae
Exons: 3
Source: RefSeq, a predicted model, not a curated record
CUCCAGUGGCUGAUAAACUGCUGUGUCAUUUUCAUCCUGUUUCAGAGCCCUAAUAGAUGCCAAGCAGAUACAGAAAGCUGAACUUCGAGAUAAACGCAGGAGGAAGCAUCAAAGCGUGGAACUAUGCUGUGACUGAUCAUCUCUGGAGUGCGACAUGUUAUCAACUGGGUAGCCUCCUGUUGUUGCUGCACCGGGAAGGAUGGGCUGGUUUCAGACUGCCAGUGUAAAGGGCAGAAAGUGUGGACGGUCAACUGUGAUGGAAAACCCUCCCCUUCAUAAUGGAACCUACAGCAUCUACUGCUGUUAGACCGCCAUGUUUAGACAUCUGCUUUCCCUAAACUGUAGGUGGUGCUGGAGGCCUACUUGUUACAAUGACGACUUGUCUGAAAACUCCUUUUUCAGGAAGCCAGACAAUGUCUGACAGCUGACAAGUGUACAGUAGCAUCCUUUAAAUCUAAGAUAAAAAUGUCACUUUAUAAGCCCAAAAGUGCUGACCAAACAAAACUAAUAAAAAAUUAUCUGGAUCAAUUUAUUGUCACAUUUUUUAAAGCCUGUAUGAGCAGUUUAUUCGUGGAAGAAGCAGGAAAAGAGUAACGCAUCUUCUUAAAACUGUAUAAUUUAUUUAUUGACGUGGAUUUCACUUGUCUGUAUAUCAUAAUCAGGAUUCGGUUCAGCCCAUGGAAUUUCGGAGGGCUAAAAGUGGAGUUGAUUGAUUCCAGACUUCCCAAACUUUGUUUAAAAUCAGUGACAGAAAGUUUUAAAUCCACAGUAGAAUGCUCUUCAUCUGCAAAGAAACUAUAGUUUGAAAGAGAUAAAUAAAAUCAACAAAAAAGUGCAGCUUUUGCUCUCUUUAUACCGGUAUUCAGAUGAGGACAAGAUGGAAGAAGUUUAAGAGAUUUUCAGCUGAAAAGCAAAAAAUAAAUAAAAUAGACCUAAGUGGUUUGUAGAAAGGAUUAAUUUUUUUUUUAAUCCCUGUCAGCAUUGUUUUAUUUCUUGUAUUAUUUUAAAGAACACAGUGACACAGAGCAAUCAGCUCUUAAGCUGUCCUAGUAUAUAGGCCUACACAGGAUUUAUAUUUUUAUUCCCUCCUGAAUUACUUUUAUUUACUUUUUUUUUUGUUCGCUAAUACUGAUGUAAAAAAUGGGACUAAACAGUA